This 478-nucleotide ribosomal RNA is filed under the name uncultured bacterium. RNAcentral describes it as "partial 16S ribosomal RNA". It matches the Rfam family "Bacterial small subunit ribosomal RNA", at positions 28 to 523 of the family's 1533-position model. The record is from RNAcentral.
GACGAACGCUGGCGGCGUGCUUAACACAUGCAAGUCGAACGGUAAGGCCCUUCGGGGUACACGAGUGGCGAACGGGUGAGUAACACGUGGGUGAUCUGCCCUGCACUUCGGGAUAAGCCUGGGAAACUGGGUCUAAUACCGGAUAGGACUCCUGGCUUCAUGGUUGGGAGUGGAAAGCUUUUGCGGUGUGGGAUGGGCCCGCGGCCUAUCAGCUUGUUGGUGGGGUAAUGGCCUACCAAGGCGACGACGGGUAGCCGGCCUGAGAGGGUGACCGGUCACACUGGGACUGAGAUACGGCCCAGACUCCUACGGGAGGCAGCAGUGGGGAAUAUUGCACAAUGGGCGCAAGCCCGAUGCAGCGACGCCGCGUGAGGGAUGACGGCCUUCGGGUUGUAAACCUCUUUCAGCUAUGACGAAGCGCAAGUGACGGUAGUAGCAGAAGAAGGACCGGCCAACUACGUGCCAGCAGCCGCGGUAA